GGCGAGGUAGCUCAGUGGUAGAGCAGGGGACUCAUAAGCCCUUGGUCGUUGGUUCAAAUCCAAUCCUCGCUA
Molecule: transfer RNA, 72 nt
Filed under: Anaerolineae bacterium
Lineage: Bacteria; Bacillati; Chloroflexota; Anaerolineae
Description: tRNA-Met
Rfam family: tRNA
About the family: Transfer RNA (tRNA) molecules are approximately 80 nucleotides in length. Their secondary structure includes four short double-helical elements and three loops (D, anti-codon, and T loops).
Source: RNAcentral